Molecule: ribosomal RNA, 254 nt
Filed under: uncultured Singulisphaera sp.
Lineage: Bacteria; Pseudomonadati; Planctomycetota; Planctomycetia; Isosphaerales; Isosphaeraceae
Description: partial 16S ribosomal RNA
Rfam family: Bacterial small subunit ribosomal RNA
Source: RNAcentral
GACGAACCGUGCGAACGUUAUUCGGAAUCACUGGGCUUAAAGCGCGUGUAGGCGGAAGACCGCGUCGGUCGCUGAAAGCCCCCGGCUCAACCGGGGAAGUGGCGCCGAAACGGGUUUUCUGGAGGGGGGUAGGGGACGCUGGAACUUCCGGUGGAGCGGUGAAAUGCGUUGAGAUCGGAAGGAACGCCCGCGGCGAAAGCGAGCGUCUGGACCCCACCUGACGCUGAGACGCGAAAGCCAGGGGAGCGAACGGG